GAUUAACGCUGGCGGCGUGCAUAACACAUGCAAGUCGAACGAUGAAACUUAACUGAUUUCUUCGGAAUGAUUUUAAGUGGAUUAGUGGCGGACGGGUGAGUAACGCGUGUGUAACCUGCCUUGGAGAAGGGGAUAGCCUUUGGAAACGAAGAAUAAUACCCUAUGAUAUGAUAAUAUCUCAUGAUAUUAUCAUCAAAGAUUUAUCGCUCUAAGAUGGACUUGCGUCUGAUUAGUUAGUUGGUGAGGUAACAGCUCACCAAGGCAGCGAUCAGUAGCCGGCUUGAGAGAGUGUACGGCCACAUUGGGACUGAGACACGGCCCAGACUCCUACGGGAGGCAGCAGUGGGGAAUUUUGCACAAUGGGGGAAACCCUGAUGCAGCGACGCCGCGUGAUUUAGAAGGCCUUCGGGUUGUAAAAAUCUUUUGUAUGGGAAGAAAAUGACAGUACCAUACGAAUAAGGACCGGCUAAUUACGUG
This 477-nucleotide ribosomal RNA is filed under the name uncultured bacterium. Its description in RNAcentral is "partial 16S ribosomal RNA". It matches the Rfam family "Bacterial small subunit ribosomal RNA", at positions 28 to 507 of the family's 1533-position model. The record is from RNAcentral.